CCUACGGGUGGCAGCAGUGAGGAAUAUUGGUCAAUGGACGAGAGUCUGAACCAGCCAAGUAGCGUGAAGGAUGACUGCCCUCUGGGUUGUAAACUUCUUUUAUAUGGGAAUAAAAUGUUCCACGUGUGGGCUUUUGUAUGUACCAUAUGAAUAAGGAUCGGCUAACUCCGUGCCAGCAGCCGCGGUAAUACGGAGGAUCCGAGCGUUAUCCGGAUUUAUUGGGUUUAAAGGGAGCGUAGGUGGGUGGUUAAGUCAGUUGUGAAAGUUUGCGGCUCAACCGUAGAAUUGCAGUUGAAACUGGCAGUCUUGAGUGCAGUAGAGGUGGGCGGAAUUCGUGGUGUAGCGGUGAAAUGCUUAGAUAUCACGAAGAACUCCGAUUGCGAAGGCAGCUCACUGGACUGCAACUGACACUGAGGCUCGAAAGUGUGGGUAUCAAACAGGAUUAGAUACCCCUGUAGUC
This 460-nucleotide ribosomal RNA is filed under the name uncultured bacterium. Its description in RNAcentral is "partial 16S ribosomal RNA". It matches the Rfam family "Bacterial small subunit ribosomal RNA", at positions 338 to 795 of the family's 1533-position model. The record is from RNAcentral.